CCUACGGGAGGCAGCAGUGGGGAAUAUUGGACAAUGGGCGCAAGCCUGAUCCAGCAAUGCCGCGUGAGUGAUGAAGGCCUUAGGGUCGUAAAGCUCUUUUACCAGGGAUGAUAAUGACAGUACCUGGAGAAUAAGUUCCGGCUAACUCCGUGCCAGCAGCCGCGGUAAUACGGAGGGAGCUAGCGUUGUUCGGAAUUACUGGGCGUAAAGCGUACGUAGGCGGUUAUUCAAGUCAGAGGUGAAAGCCCGGGGCUCAACCCCGGAACGGCCUUUGAAACUAGGUAGCUAGAAUCUUGGAGAGGUCAGUGGAAUUCCGAGUGUAGAGGUGAAAUUCGUAGAUAUUCGGAAGAACACCAGUGGCGAAGGCGACUGACUGGACAAGUAUUGACGCUGAGGUACGAAAGCGUGGGGAGCAAACAGGAUUAGAUACCCUGGUAGUCCACGCCGUAAACGAUGAUAACUAGCUGUUCGGGCACUUGGUGCUUGAGUGGCGCAGCUAACGCAUUAAGUUAUCCGCCUGGGGAUACGGUGCAAGNUUAAAACCUUAAAUGAAUUGACGGNUGAGAGNGCGAGAGACACGAGGAGAG
Molecule: ribosomal RNA, 587 nt
Filed under: uncultured bacterium
Lineage: Bacteria
Description: bacterial SSU rRNA
Rfam family: Bacterial small subunit ribosomal RNA
Source: RNAcentral